RNAcentral lists this ribosomal RNA (459 nucleotides) under uncultured bacterium. Its description in RNAcentral is "partial 16S ribosomal RNA". It matches the Rfam family "Bacterial small subunit ribosomal RNA", at positions 338 to 795 of the family's 1533-position model. The record is from RNAcentral.
CCUACGGGAGGCAGCAGUGAGGAAUAUUGGUCAAUGGCCGGAAGGCUGAACCAGCCAAGCCGCGUGAAGGACGAAGGUGCCAAGCAUUGUAAACUUCUUUUGUCAAGGGACAAAAUCAGGCUCGAGAGCCUGACCGAGGGUACUUGAAGAAAAAGUAUCGGCUAACUCCGUGCCAGCAGCCGCGGUACUACGGAGGAUGCGAGCGUUAUCCGGAUUUAUUGGGUUUAAAGGGUGCGUAGGCGGGCUGUUAAGUCAGCGGUAAAAGCCCGGGGCUCAACCCCGGCGAGCCGUUGAAACUGGCGGUCUUGAGUGGUCGAGAGGUAUGCGGAAUUCGCAGUGUAGCGGUGAAAUGCUUAGAUAUUGCGCAGAACUCCGAUUGCGAAGGCAGCAUACCGGCGGCGAACUGACGCUGAGGCUCGAAAGCGUGGGUAGCGAACAGGAUUAGAUACCCCAGUAGUC